Molecule: long non-coding RNA, 1051 nt
Organism: Myotis daubentonii (Daubenton's bat)
Lineage: Eukaryota; Metazoa; Chordata; Mammalia; Chiroptera; Vespertilionidae
Source: RefSeq, a predicted model, not a curated record
CGGGCCGCCCUUGCGUCAUUCGGCCGCGACCAGGUUCUGCUCUUCCGCUUGGGGCGGUCCCUGGUCCCGGCGGGCGGUUGCCGGACUGGAGGUUGUCCCGGGCUACUUGUCCUCGGGGCUCCCCAUGGAGGAGGCGGCGCGCCCGGCUGCAGCCCCGGAUGCUCGCAGCUCCCACUGGACGGCGACGGAGGCGCUGGCCGCGCGAGCGCAGGGGAGGUCGGCCUGUGUGAGGGUGUGAGCGGCGGUGACCAGAGCGGAAGCCCGCUGUGCAGUCGGCCAGCCCACGGGACCUCUAAACCAGGAACCCCAGGGUGGGGCAGGAGGCGACAACGCAAAGUCACAGGAUGCCGGUGACCUCCAGGUACAUUGUGGGGCCCUGGGAGCUGAGGACACGUGCCAAUUACUGUUCCCCGAGCCUGGAGAGCAGGGUGAUGGUACAGCCACUGCCUUCUUCAAACAACAUCCAUUUUGUCUGUGUGGGAAGAGUCCAUCUUUAUUUCAUCAGUUUCAAUUAUCACUCAUAAAAGGAUCCCUAAAUACCAACUCAACACAUACAAAUCCAUCAACGACUAUGCUUGUAAAUCAGUCCUAUCAACAGGCAUUUGUUGAGCACAUUCCUGGGUCCUAAGUCCUUGCAUGUCAUGGAGCCUUGGAAAGCAAGGUGGGCAGAUGACAUCCCCAAUCUCAUAAAUGAUGAAACCGGCAUCGGGGUGACCUACUCAAGCUGUUAAUGUGAGUGUUCAGAUUCCAGACCCUGGCUUCUCCCACUAUUUCUCUACCUGAGGUUGGGUGAGGGCCUUGGUAUUGACCAGAAGCGCAGAGAAAGAAUCCUGAAAUCAGAUGACCAAUGGUUUCAAGACUGGCUCUGUUGAAUGUUAUGGUGUGGCCUAGGGCAAAUUUCUUAAUGACUUAGUCUCAAAUGACUCAUUUGUAUUGUUAUCAUACUUCCAUGCCUCAAUAAAAGUAUACUUUAAAAAAAUCCAUAUCUGUAGAAUUGCACCUGCGAGAAACUAGGGUUUGCAAGUCAGUUUCCCUAGCCAAAAGGUCGCUU